AGUGAACGCUGGCGGUAGGCCUAACACAUGCAAGUCGAACGGCAGCACAGUAAGAGCUUGCUCUUACGGGUGGCGAGUGGCGGACGGGUGAGGAAUACAUCGGAAUCUACUUUUUCGUGGGGGAUAACGUAGGGAAACUUACGCUAAUACCGCAUACGACCUACGGGUGAAAGCAGGGGAUCUUCGGACCUUGCGCGAUUGAAUGAGCCGAUGUCGGAUUAGCUAGUUGGCGGGGUAAAGGCCCACCAAGGCGACGAUCCGUAGCUGGUCUGAGGGGAUGAUCAGCCACACUGGAACUGAGACACGGUCCAGACUCCGACGGGAGGCAGCAGUGGGGAAUAUUGGACAAGGGGCGCAAGCCUGAUCCAGCCAUACCGCGGGGGUGAAGAAGGCCUUCGGGUUGUAAAGCCCUUUUGUUGGGAAAGAAAAGCAGCAGGUUAAUACCCCGCUGUUCUGACGGUACCCAAAGAAUAAGCACCGGCUAACUUCGU
RNAcentral lists this ribosomal RNA (491 nucleotides) under uncultured bacterium. RNAcentral's name for it is "partial 16S ribosomal RNA". It matches the Rfam family "Bacterial small subunit ribosomal RNA", at positions 29 to 506 of the family's 1533-position model. The record is from RNAcentral.